RNAcentral lists this ribosomal RNA (460 nucleotides) under uncultured bacterium. Its description in RNAcentral is "partial 16S ribosomal RNA". It matches the Rfam family "Bacterial small subunit ribosomal RNA", at positions 338 to 795 of the family's 1533-position model. The record is from RNAcentral.
CCUACGGGAGGCAGCAGUGGGGAAUAUUGGACAAUGGACGAAAGUCUGAACCAGCCACGCCGCGUGAAGGAUGACUGCCCUCUGGGUUGUAAACUUCUUUUAUAUGGGAAUAAAAUGUUCCACGUGUGGGAUUUUGUAUGUCCCAUAUGAAUCAAGCUCGGCUAACUCCGUGCCAGCAGCCGCGGUAAUACGGAGGAUCCGAGCGUUAUCCGGAUUUAUUGGGUUUAAUGGGUGCGUAGGUGGAUUCUUAAGUCAGUUGUGAAAGUUUGCGGCUCAACCGUAAAAUUGCAGUUGAAACUGGCAGUCUUGAGUACAGUAGAGGUAGGCGGAAUUCGUGGUGUAGCGGUGAAAUGCUUAGAUAUCACGAAGAACUCCGAUUGCGAAGGCAGCUCACUGGACUGCAACUGACAUUGAGGCUCGAAAGUGUGGGGAUCAAACAGGAUUAGAUACCCCUGUAGUC